UUUCUUCUUUUUUAUUUUUCCUUCUUUCGAGAAGCACUAACGUGUUCCGCCAGAUCGUUCCAUUGAAAAGUACAUCACUUACGUAGACGGCUUGUCACCACUGCCAAUCUGGGGCCUCCCGCGCGACCUUUCUGCCAUUGACGAAUCAGGAUUCGCUCGCAGAUACGCUAGAGCCAAGAGCUACGCCACAACGUCGUGGGUUUUGAUCAACUCGUUCGAAGAACUCGAGGGCAGUGCCACCUUCCAAGCCCUCCGAGACAUCUCUCCCAAAGCAAUCGCAGUGGGUCCUCUUUUCACCAUGGCCCCCGGCUGCAACAAGGCAAGCUUGUGGAAGGAAGACACCGAGAGUUUAUCCUGGCUCGGCAAGCAAAGUCCCGGCUCGGUUCUCUACAUUUCCUUGGGCAGCAUCGCGACCCUCAGCUUCGAUCAGUUCAAGGAGUUCUCCGAGGGACUGAGGCUUCUCCAGCGUCCGUUUAUCUGGGCCAUCCGACCCAAGUCGGUCGCCGGCAUGGAGCCCGAGUUCCUGGAGCGUUUCAAGGAGGCCGUGAGGAGCUUUGGACUGGUUGUGAGCUGGGCUCCUCAGGUGGACAUCCUCCGCCACCCUUCCACGGCUGGAUUUCUCAGUCACUGCGGCUGGAACUCCAUCCUCGAGAGCGUAGCAUCCGCGGUGCCCAUGCUUUGCUGGCCGUGCGUCGCGGAGCAGAAUCUAAACUGCAAGUUGAUAGUGGAGGACUGGAAGAUCGGUCUCAAGUUCUCGUGCGUGACCAUGCCGGAUCCUCCCGAGGUGAUGGCGAGGGACGAGUUUGUGGAGGUGGUGGAGCGAUUCAUGGGAACUGACAGUGAGCAUUUGAGGAUUAACGUGAAGAAGCUGAGCGAGGAGGCUCGUAGAGCAGUGUCUAGUGGUGGCUCCUCAUAUGAAAACCUGGAGAGAUUUGCUCAAGCAGUGAAAAUUUCCUAAACUUCAAUCCAAAGCUAAGAGAAAACUUCAAAGCAUCUACUCUAUUCAAGAAUAUACUACAGUUCUUUCUCUCUCUCUCUGAAGAUAAGCACGCGCUUUGCGCGUAUAAUGGGUUCCAAGGUCAAUGUUGUCGCAAUUCCUCUCCCAGCUCAAGGCCACAUCUCUCCACUCUUGCAUCUCUGCCAAGCUCUCACUUUCAUCCUUUGGGGGAUGCUAUCUCCAAAACACGCAACCAUGAGGGAAUGUGCUGGACUUUGUUACGUGCAAAAACCCAUGGCUAAUGUGCUAAUGUAGACUCUAAGGUGAUGCUUUAUAUCAGAAACUGAUGUGAGGAGAAGAAACUAAAGAAAAACAAAGAAAAAAUAAUAAUAAGAAAGAGAGUGUAAAGUUCUGGAGUCAAAGGGGAACCACAUGGGGAAACUUGAUAAAAGAAUUAAACACUAAAAAAUGGAAAAACAAAAAGUGAAAAAAACUAAAGAGCAAAGAACAGCUUAAAGAAAUACUAGCAAGAUUGGAAGAGCUCUAGAGGCCAGUUAGAAUGGCCAUUUGUCUCAAGUUGGUCCCUGGCAUAGAGCCCGAGUUCCUGGAGGCUUUCAAGGCUCUCCUUGCAAGUGAUCAGCUUUGGACAGGUUGUGAGCUGGGCUCCUCAACUGGAAAUCCUCCAGCAUCCUUCCACAGGCUGCGAGAGUGUAUCUUCAGCGGUGCCAAUCCUUUGCUGGCCAUGAGUUGCCAAGCAGAAUCUCAACUGCAAGCUUAUAGUGGAAGACUGGAAGAUCGAUCUUAAGUUCCCGCCCAUGAGAGAUCCUCGCAAGGUUUAGAUGUAAUGUGAAGGAGCUCAGCGAGGCUGCUCAGGGAGCAACAGUGAAAGAAGGCAGGAUCUUCAUAUGAAAGUUUGGACAAGUUUGUCAAGUUUCAUAAGGUAACUUAUAUCCAAUGCCGCAGCUGGUGGCAGGAGGAUCAUCGGGCAUGAGGGCGGGGCCAAUGCACAGACAGACCAACCACCAAGAGCACAUAAAGAUGAUACUUGAAAGUGUAUAGGUUGGUGGAAGUGUUAUUUUCCUUCCCAAAGAAAUAGAUGGCGUAAUCAAGAGGAGUAAAACAUUCCUGAAGGAGAACACUAGAUUAAAACAUUUGCAAAACGCACUGAUUCUUAAGCUCAGCCUUGGAGCGAUUUGAAGCUUAUCCAGAAAAGGUAUUGUGAGAAACGGCAGCACCUUCCAGAGCACUCACGAAGUAAGCUUGAAUUUUCUUUGUUCUUCGUCAAUGGGUUCUUCUACUGGUGCCGAGGGGCUCGCUCCUCAUGCAGCGGUUCUUCCCGUUCCAACCCAAGGCCACAUCACUCCAUUCCUCCAUCUCUCCAGAGCGCUGGCGUCGCGAGGCUUCGUCAUAACUUUCAUCAACACGGAGGCCAACCACAGGGACUUGAAGGACAUCGUUUCGCAGGAGGAGAGCUUUGGCUAUGGCGGCGGCAUUCGCUUCGAGACGGUCCCGGGCAUCCAAGCGAGCGACGUCGACUUCGCGGUCCCGGAGAAGCGGGGGAUGUUGUCCGAGGCAGUGAUGGAGAUGCAAGCUCCAGUGGAAAGCUUGCUCAUCAGGAACAUGGCCAGAGACGAUGAUCUCGUUCCUCCGGUCUCGUGCUUCAUCUCGGAUAUGUUCCCGUGGUCCGCGGAAGUAGCAAGAAGGACUGGAAUCCCAGAGGUCAAGUUCUGGACCGCCAGUGCCUCUUGCGUUUUGCUCGAUUGCUCGUUUCCGCGAAUGCUGGAGAAGGGAGACGUUCCAGUCCAAGGUAAAGCUUCUUUCUUCUUUUUUAUUUGUCCUUCACUAACGUGUUCCGCCAGAUCGUUCCAUUGAAAAGUACAUCACUUACGUAGACGGCUUGUCACCACUGCCAAUCUGGGGCCUCCCGCGCGACCUUUCUGCCAUUGACGAAUCAAGAUUCGCUCGCAGAUACGCUAGAGCCAAGAGCUACGCCACAACGUCGUGGGUUUUGGUCAACUCGUUCGAAGAACUCGAGGGCAGUGCCACCUUCCAAGCCCUCCGAGACAUCUCUCCCAAAGCAAUCGCAGUGGGUCCUCUUUUCACCAUGGUCCCCGGCUCCAACAAGGCAAGCUUGUGGAAGGAAGACACCGAGAGUUUAUCCUGGCUCGGCAAGCAAAGUCCCGGCUCGGUUCUCUACAUUUCCUUGGGCAGCAUGGCGACUCUCAGCUUCGAUCAGUUCAAGGAGUUCUCCGAGGGACUGACGCUUCUCCAGCGUCCGUUUAUCUGGGCCAUCCGACCCAAGUCGGUCGCCGGCAUGGAGCCCGAGUUCCUGGAGCGUUUCAAGGAGGCCGUGAGGAGCUUUGGACUGGUUGUGAGCUGGGCUCCUCAGGUGGACAUCCUCCGCCACCCUUCCACGGCUGGAUUUCUCAGUCACUGCGGCUGGAACUCCAUCCUCGAGAGCGUAGCAUCCGCGGUGCCCAUGCUUUGCUGGCCGUGCGUCGCGGAGCAGAAUCUAAACUGCAAGUUGAUAGUGGAGGACUGGAAGAUCGGUCUCAAGUUCUCGUGCGUGACCAUGCUGGAUCCUCCCGAGGUGAUGGCGAGGGACGAGUUUGUGGAGGUGGUGGAGCGAUUCAUGGGAACUGACAGUGAGCAUUUGAGGAUUAACGUGAAGAAGCUGAGCGAGGAGGCUCGUAGAGCAGUGUCUAGUGGUGGCUCCUCGUAUGAAAACCUGGAGAGAUUUGCUCAAGCAGUGAAAAUUUCCUAAACUUCAAUCCACGGCUAAGAGAAAACUUCAAAGCAUCUACUCUACUCAAGAAUAUACUACUCUUUCUCUCUCUCUCUGAAGAUAAGCACGCGCUUUGCGCGUAUAAUGGGUUCCAAGAUCAAUGUUGUGGCGAUUCCUUUCCCCUCUCCACUCUUGCAUCUCUGCCAAGCUCUCACUUUCAUCCUUUGGGGGAUGCUAUCUCGAAAACACGCAACCACGAGGGAAUGUGUUAGACUUUGUCAUGUGCAAGAACCCAUGGCUAAUGUGUUAAUGUAGACUCCAAGGUGAUGCCUUAUGUCAGAAACUGCUGCGAGGAAAAGAAACUAAAGAAAAACAAAGAAAAAAUAAUAAGUGUAAAGUUCUGGAGUUAAAAAGGAAUCACAUGAGGAAACUUGAUAAAAGAAUUAAACACUAAAAAAUGAAAAAACAAAGUGAAAAAAGCUGAAGAGUAAGGAACAGCUUAUAGAAAUACUAACAAGAUUGGAAGAGCUCUAGAGGCCAGUUAUAAUGGCCAUUUGUCUCAAGUUGGUCCCUGGCAUAGAGCCCGAGUUCCUGGAGGCUUUCAAGGCUCUCCUUGAAAGUGAUCAGCUUUGGAUUGGUUGUGAGCUGGGCUCCUCAACUGGAAAUCCUCCAGCAUCUUUCCACAAGCUGCGAGAGUGUAUCUUCAGCAGUGCCAAUCCUUUGCUGGCCAUGAGUUGCCAAGCAGAAUCUCAACUGCAAGCUUAUAGUGGAAGACUGGAAGAUCGAUCUUAAGUUCUCGCCCAUGAGAUAUCCUCGCAAGGUGGUGGCAGGGACGAGUUUGUGGAGGUGGUGGAGCAACUCAUGGGAGCUGCGAGUGGCAAUUCCUUUAGAUGUAAUGUGAAGGAGCUCAGCGAGGCUGCUCAGGGAGCAACAGUGAAAGAAGGCAGGAUCUUCAUAUGAAAGUUUGGACAAGUUCGUCAAGUUUCAUAAGGUAAUUUAUAUCCAAUGCCGCAGCUGGUGGCAGGACGAUCAUCGGGCAUGAGGGCGGGGCCAAUGCACAGACAGACCAACCACCAAGAGCACAUAAAGAUGAUACUUGAAAGUGUAUAGGUUGGUGGAAGUGUUAUUUUCCUUCCCAAAGAAAUAGAUGGCGUAAUCAAGAGGAGUAAAACAUUCCUGAAGGAGAACACUAGAUUAAAACCUUUGCAAAACGCACUGAUUCUUAAGCUCAGCCUUGGAGCGAUUUCAAGCUUAUCCAGAAAAGGUAUUGUGAGAAACGGCAGCACCUUCCAGAGCACUCACGAAGUAAGCUUGAAUUUUCUUUGUUCUUCGUCAAUGGGUUCUUCUACUGGUGCCGAGGGGCUCGCUCCUCACGCAGCGGUUCUUCCCAUUCCAACGCUACGCCACAUCACUCCAUUCCUCCAUCUCUCCAGAGCUCUGGCCUCGCGAGGCUUCGUCAUAACUUUCAUCAACACGGAGGGCAACCACAGGGACUUGAAGGACAUCGUUUCACAGGAGGAGAGCUUUGGCUAUGGCGGCGGCAUUCGCUUCGAGACGGUCCCGGGCAUCCAAGCGAGCGACGUCGACUUCGCGGUCCCGGAGAAGCGGGGGAUGUUGUCCGAGGCAGUGAUGGAGAUGCAGGCUCCAGUGGAAAGCUUGCUCAUCAGGAACAUGGCCAGAGACGAUGAUCUCGUUCCUCCGGUCUCGUGCUUCAUCUCGGAUAUGUUCCCGUGGUCCGCGGAAGUAGCAAGAAGGACUGGAAUCCCAGAGGUCAAGUUCUGGAUCGCCAGUGCCUCUUGCGUUUUGCUCGAUUGCUCGUUUCCGCGAAUGCUGGAGAAGGGAGACGUUCCAGUCCAAGGUAAAGCUUCUUUCUUCUUUUUUAUUUGUCCUUCUUUCGAGAAGCACUAACGUGUUCCGCCAGAUCGUUCCAUUGAAAAGUACAUCACUUACGUAGACGGCUUGUCACCACUGCCAAUCUGGGGCCUCCCGCGCGACCUUUCUGCCAUUGACGAAUCAAGAUUCGCUGGCAGAUACGCUAGAGCCAAGAGCUUCGCCACAACGUCGUGGGUUUUGGUCAACUCGUUCGAAGAACUCGAGGGCAGUGCCACCUUCCAAGCCCUCCGAGACAUCUCUCCCAAAGCAAUCGCUGUGGGUCCUCUUUUCACCAUGGCCCCCGGCUGCAACAAGGCAAGCUUGUGGAAGGAAGACACCGAGAGUUUAUCCUGGCUCGG
RNAcentral lists this long non-coding RNA (5893 nucleotides) under Selaginella moellendorffii. Its description in RNAcentral is "long non-coding RNA (SMOE_LNC000745)". Lineage: Eukaryota; Viridiplantae; Streptophyta; Lycopodiopsida; Selaginellales; Selaginellaceae. The record is from RNAcentral.